Quercus robur (English oak) is the source of this 901-nucleotide long non-coding RNA. RefSeq lists it as uncharacterized. The record is from RefSeq and is a predicted model, not a curated record. Lineage: Eukaryota; Viridiplantae; Streptophyta; Magnoliopsida; Fagales; Fagaceae. The transcript has 2 exons.
UCUUUUCUUGAUUUUGACAAGUCAGUGUUGACAUCUAUGUUAUUGAAAUUGAUUCAACAGUAUUUUUUCAUCUCUGUAUUUGCCUCCACUUAUUAUCUCUCUGCCUUCUUAGUAUAAGACACAUGAAUUCUGUACCAAGCUUUUGAUCUAUUUACAUUUGAUCUAAUACAGAUUGCUUUUUUCUGAUUGGUUUUGUAUACUUAUACGGGUUGCUUUUCUGGUAAGGUUUUAAAGACAGUAUAUUGUUAUUCUAAUAGAAUUAGAAAUUUCCCAGUAAGCAUAGUUGUUAUACUCUUUGGAUUUCUAUUAUGUCUUGUGGAAUAUCUUGUAUUGGUGAUAUUUGGGUAUUGAUAUUUGUUUUUACUAUGUAUCUGGUGGAUUGAUAUGUGGCCCAGGGAAUGUUGGGAUUCCAAUUGUUUACCUCUUGAGAAGUAAACACCAGAAUUUCAGAUACCUUUUGUAAUUUUCUUUUUUUAGAGAAUUUGGAGUUUAAUAGGAUUGGCUUAUUUAUUUUUGAUUGGCAAUUUUGUAUAUGAUUUUGUAAUUUGUUUGAGAAAUUGAAUAUCCCUUUUUGCAAAAUGAUUAGUAGCUCAAAGCUUGCUCUUGAACAAAACUUAUCAAAUUUCAACAUGCAGAUCCUAAAACGGAGAUGGAAGACACAAACACAGACACAAACAAAUCUGGUUCUUCCUCGCCAAGUGGUUCUCCCUUGAGAACCGGACGUUGUCCCUUGCCGACUUUGCGGUCUCCUUCGCCAUUUUCACGGUCACCCUCACCAUUGUCACCUGUCAGUUCACCCUCAGGAUCACCAUUAAAUGAGAAUCCGAAAUCUCCGACGGUGGACUUAGUAGGAGAAGACUUAGAGGUAGAGGAACAAGAAGGGACAGAGAGAGAGCAAGAG